CAUGUGUGUGCAUGUGUAUUUACUUAUGGGUAUGUGUGUACAUGCGUGUACACACACACACACACACACACACACACACAU
RNAcentral lists this microRNA precursor (81 nucleotides) under Myotis lucifugus (little brown bat). RNAcentral describes it as "miRNA (ENSMLUG00000020236.1)". The record is from RNAcentral. Lineage: Eukaryota; Metazoa; Chordata; Mammalia; Chiroptera; Vespertilionidae.